CUCCUCCCCCAGGCAUAACACACAGAUUGAACACCUUUGCUCUGGAGGUACUCUGCCAACGUAACGGUGAGAGUUGCAAUCCUCCGAUGUGUGUAGCAUCAACAGUUGUCAGUGCCCUCUGAGCAGCAUCUGCAGUCAAUGGACAGCUAGGAGGGAGCUCUCCAGGGCUCUCGGCGGGACUUCAGGGAUCCUCUGGUGGCUCAUUUCCUUUCACCAAGCUGGCAGACGUCCCCAGCCUGUGAAUUGACUGCGUCCUAUAUCAUCGUGGCCCAGCUGCUUGAGCUCAUCCUGUGGGAGGUUUACUGGCAUCUUUCCCUCCUGGGUUUUAGAAACCUGCAGAAGUAUCUGGAGAGAAAAACACUGAAAGACAGCUUUCCUCUGGGAACCCUAACUUGAAGUAUUGAAGCAGAACGACGUUAUAUGCCACUGUGCUAAAUGAUGUAGGGCCAAAGCUGAGAAAUUGUGGUUUGUUGGCAAAACUCUGCAAGACUCAGGUACAGUGAUUCUGAAUGUCUUUCUGAAAAAUGCUUUCCCCUGCUGCCUUU
This 545-nucleotide long non-coding RNA is filed under the name Struthio camelus australis. Its description in RNAcentral is "lncRNA (ENSSCUG00000008735.1)". Lineage: Eukaryota; Metazoa; Chordata; Aves; Struthioniformes; Struthionidae. The record is from RNAcentral.